GCCGACUCCUGACCAGGAAGGCACGGGGCAUCCCCUCAGGAAUGGUGAGAUGGCUCUGUGCACACAGGCUGCCUCCUCUGCCAGCUGUCGGAACUCAGCCCCAACGACUAUCCCAGUUGCUGGAUGUCCUGCAGCCUUGACUAGGGCGCCUGGCACAGGUCUGGUAGCUCAGUACCUAGAAGCUGUCCUGAUGAAUUCUGCUACAGGGGGGCCAAGGGGCCCAGCUGUCCAUGCCCACCACCGUACCUCCUGCGGCGACCAGUUCCUGUGUUGUUGCUGAAACCAGAAAUCUGGUGCCAG
This is a long non-coding RNA of Lemur catta (Ring-tailed lemur), 300 nucleotides long. RefSeq lists it as uncharacterized. The transcript has 3 exons. NCBI's taxonomy places the organism in Eukaryota, Metazoa, Chordata, Mammalia, Primates, Lemuridae. The record is from RefSeq and is a predicted model, not a curated record.